CACAUGCUUAAAUAUGUUGCCAUCUGUGUUACUAUGUUUGUUACUUUGUCUGAGUACAGUUCAGAAACAUAAUUUAUCACUUCAGAAGCACACUCUCAAGACAUUGGGAAAUUGUGGACCAAACUCUACAGUCAGUACAGCUGAACAUCAUGGAUCAACUGACGGAUAUCUAUGUUAAUGAGGAGGAACCAAUUGGUUAUCCUGGCAAAAGGAACAGUUUGGUAAAAAGUUCAGAAAGUAUUUAUGAAAAUGUGUUGAUCCACAGUCUGAAGCCAAAAGAAACUGCUGCACUCUCAGGUGCUGAAGUGGUAAAUAAGAGUUCCCGCGGAGCUGCUGCAGUGGGUCUGUUGUGUCUUCUCCUACUGACUGGACUCAUAACUGUGGUUUGCCUAUUUACCAAAGGCAGAUCUGAGUGGAAAAUGGAGAUGGUCCUGUUACAGACCAAUUACAACAACCUGACUCAGGAACUCAACCAGCUCCAUGAAGUUGUUGAAAACAUGACCAAAAAGAUAAAUCAACUUCAAAUAAAGCUUCAAGGUAAUUCUAAUGGAUCCCUUCAGAGCCAAAUGGACAUCGGUUAUAUUAUUGUAUCUUUCUAUUUAGUUAUUAAGUUAGUAAUAGACAUGCUAGUUUAAAGAAGGACAGCACUUCAGGUAAAUCAGAAGGGGGUUGAAAGAUCAUACAAGCAGGAUUUCAAAAUAUGGUGUACACCUAUCCAUUUAAAGCCUAUUUUCUUUUUUAAAUUAUUUGGUGGUGUUUGUUGAUUGUCGUUUUGUUCUAGACUAAGAGUCUUCAACAUUUUUCAAGCCGAGGAUCCUUGGCUCGCGAUCCCUUAACUGAAAGCAAGAUGGAGCAGGGACCCCCUACCACAUAUAUUGUCUAAAAUUAAGACAUAUUAACCUGGGCCUACAAUAACAUGUAGCCACCCUACACCUAAAGAUACAUAUACAUAUAUAUACAUACUUUUUCUUUGCAUAGAAUUAGUGCUGUCAGUUAAACGCGUUAUCAAUGCUGUUAACGCCAUCAAUAAAUCAGUCCAACUGGACCAAUUUGGGGAUUUUUAAGUUCCUCUGACCGCAGUUCCUGUAACUCUUUCAGCUCCUACUUCAGGGCAGGGUCUUUUCGCUGUUCCUUUUUUAAGCAUAGGAACCUAGGUGAACGAGAGUCGGGUUUCCGGUACAGACAGACCAACAAUGGGACAGUUUUAUAGGAGAAUUCUGGUCAAUUUCCAGACGUAGCUGUGUUGUUUCAAAAUUUGAAGUGCUGUCAGUAGCAAUACAAUCAAUAACAAUUGGUGCUGCCAACACCGUGUUCUCCUCCUGCCAGAGUUUCCCAACAGGCUUAAACAAGGCAGGUUUAACACAUGUUUUUAGCCUCCAAACAUGUUCAAAAAGUCAUUACAAGUCCCCAGCCAUGUGCAGUGAUUCCUUCCAAGGGAACAUAGCAAAUCUGACUGCAGAUAUGACAAAAGGCAUAAAUAUUGUGUUAAUCCAUACCACAGUGGAGCUGGGAGAGCAGAGCAGCGGCUGCAGCAAUUUAAAAGAGCCCACUGUUGCUUAGUUACCUAUGCGCAUGCGCGAAAGCUCUUGAACUCUUGAACUCUUGAACUGCAGCUCAGUACAGUAGUGAAAUGACAUUCCACAUGAGAAGAGCCCAUAAAGAUUAGAAGAGAUAUUCCUGCAACACGUGUGGGAAAAAAUUUAAAUAAUAACAAUAAUAACAAUACUUUUUAUUUGCAAUGCACUUUACAUUUAAGAAAAAACCUCAAAGUGCUACAGGUAAGAUCAUAAAAUCAGAAAUCAGUAUUUAAAGCUCACACAACAAUCCACGCAGGUGAGAAGCCAUUUACCUGUAAAACUUGGAGAAGCACACUCUGGUGAUAAUGCCGUACCUUUACAAGACCUGCGGGGAAAGAUGCAUUGAUGCGUCUCCUUUGGCAAAGCAUAUAAGCUUGCAUCCAAAACUUGAAAGAACACCAGAAGAUCAGUUUACACAGAAGAAAACCUCGCCCUGAAGCUCCUUUUUUCUCUUCAUAUAACUGCAGUACACAUAUUUCUGUUGGCAACAGUAUUUAUUUGAAACAAUCAUAAUCUCCCAAAUUCC
This is a long non-coding RNA of Etheostoma spectabile (orangethroat darter), 2103 nucleotides long. RefSeq lists it as uncharacterized. The record is from RefSeq and is a predicted model, not a curated record. NCBI's taxonomy places the organism in Eukaryota, Metazoa, Chordata, Actinopteri, Perciformes, Percidae. The transcript is spliced from 4 exons.